UACGUAGGGGGCAAGCGUUGUCCGGAUUUAUUGGGCGUAAAGAGCGUGUAGGCGGUUUGGUAGGUCCGCUGUGAAAACUCGAGCUCAACCUCGAGACGCCGGUGGAAACCAUCAGACUAGAGUCCGGAAGAGGAGAGUGGAAUUCCUGGUGUAGCGGUGAAAUGCGCAGAUAUCAGGAAGAACACCCGUGGCUAAGGCGGCUCUCUAGUACGGUACUGACGCUGAGACGUGAAAGCGUGGGGAGCGAACAGG
This 252-nucleotide ribosomal RNA is filed under the name uncultured bacterium. RNAcentral describes it as "partial 16S ribosomal RNA". It matches the Rfam family "Bacterial small subunit ribosomal RNA", at positions 524 to 776 of the family's 1533-position model. The record is from RNAcentral.